UACAGAGGGUGCUAGCGUUGUUCGGAAUUAUUGGGCGUAAAGCGCGUGUAGGCGGUCUCGCAAGUUGGGUGUGAAAGCCCUCGGCUUAACCGAGGAAGUGCGCCCAAAACUACGAGACUUGAGUAUCGGAGAGGGUGGCGGAAUUCCCGGUGUAGAGGUGAAAUUCGUAGAUAUCGGGAGGAACACCAGUGGCGAAGGCGGCCACCUGGCCGAAUACUGACGCUGAGACGCGAAAGCGUGGGUAGCAAACAGG
Molecule: ribosomal RNA, 253 nt
Filed under: uncultured prokaryote
Description: partial 16S ribosomal RNA
Rfam family: Bacterial small subunit ribosomal RNA
Source: RNAcentral